This is a long non-coding RNA of Melospiza melodia melodia, 495 nucleotides long. RefSeq lists it as uncharacterized. The transcript has 3 exons. The record is from RefSeq and is a predicted model, not a curated record. Lineage: Eukaryota; Metazoa; Chordata; Aves; Passeriformes; Passerellidae.
UGCAUGGCGAUGAUCCCCCUUGCACAGAAUCCGUUUGGUGGGAAAAGCACCUCUGAGUCAUGGAGUCGUGGAGUCCAGCCUCUGACUGAACACCACUGUGUCCAUAGGCCAUGGCACUGAGCACCGCGUCCAGCCUUUCCUUAAACACCUCCAGAGUCUGAAGUGAAGGUCAGUAAAGGAUAUGACACCAACGAGGCAGAAGGAUGAACCAGCAAAGGAAACAUCUAGGGAAAACUGAAUGAUUCACUGUGCAGUUGAACAGUUUAUGAAUGGAAAUUGGAAGGGGAAGCAGGAGCACAGAAGAAUCUCUCAGAUGAAAUGAUUGCAUAACUGUUGAACAGACAUUACAAUGUUGGUUUUAGGCUCUAAAGAGCCUCUCCCCACAAAGCAAAAUUAAUCCCUUAAGUGGGUAGGAAUGGAGGAAUGAACCUGAAAUAUAUUGGUUUAUUUCCCAUGGUAAGAAACAGCUCCACAAAUAAUUCCAUUUCCUUUCAU